AGCAGUGAGGAAUAUUGGUCAAUGGGCGAGAGCCUGAACCAGCCAAGUCGCGUGAGGGAGUACUGCCCUAUGGGUUGUAAACCUCUUUUGUCGGGGAGCAAAAGCCGGACGUGUCCGGCUGUGAGAGUACCCGAAGAAAAAGCAUCGGCUAACUCCGUGCCAGCAGCCGCGGUAAUACGGAGGAUGCGAGCGUUAUCCGGAUUUAUUGGGUUUAAAGGGUGCGCAGGCGGAUUUUUAAGUCAGCGGUCAAAUCGUGGGGCUCAACCCCAUCCAGCCGUUGAAACUGGGGAUCUAGAGUGUGCGAGAGGUAUGCGGAAUGCGUGGUGUAGCGGUGAAAUGCAUAGAUAUCACGCAGAACCCCGAUUGCGAAGGCAGCAUACCGGUGCACAACUGACGCUCAGGCACGAAAGCGUGGGUAUCGAACAGGAUUAGAUACCCUGGUAGUCCACGCAGUAAACGAUGAAUGCUACCUGUUUGGCCAGAUUGAUGGCUGAGCGGG
Molecule: ribosomal RNA, 499 nt
Filed under: uncultured bacterium
Lineage: Bacteria
Description: bacterial SSU rRNA
Rfam family: Bacterial small subunit ribosomal RNA
Source: RNAcentral